UGCUCUGUUCUCCUGAUGGUCUGUCUGUCUGCUCUGUUCUCCUGAUGGUCUGUCUGUCUGCUCUGUUCUCCUGAUGGUCUGUCUGUCUGCUCUGUUCUCCUGAUGGUCUGUCUGUCUGUUCUGUUCUCCUAAAGGUCUGUCUGUCUGCUCUGUUCUCCUAAAGGUCUGUCUGUCUGCUCUGUUCUGUUCUCCUAAAGGUCUG
Long non-coding RNA from Oncorhynchus keta (chum salmon), 202 nucleotides. RefSeq lists it as uncharacterized. The transcript has 3 exons. The record is from RefSeq and is a predicted model, not a curated record. NCBI's taxonomy places the organism in Eukaryota, Metazoa, Chordata, Actinopteri, Salmoniformes, Salmonidae.